Molecule: long non-coding RNA, 2859 nt
Organism: Cuculus canorus (common cuckoo)
Lineage: Eukaryota; Metazoa; Chordata; Aves; Cuculiformes; Cuculidae
Exons: 5
Source: RefSeq, a predicted model, not a curated record
CCAUUCAGGAGUGGAGAAGGACUUUAAUGGUUUGGGGGAUGGUGAAGGGAAGUGAGAUGGGUUUAUUGAUCUUUCUCAGUUUAGUUUGGCAGUCAUACGUGAGGGCCAUCCACGUUUGCUCUCUCUGCAGCUGAUGGGUGAUACGAUGAAGUUGAGACACAAGGUAUGGAUCAUCUUGACCUUUGUGCAGCAAUCAUCUGGUUUGAAUAUCAGAUGAGUUUGAUCUUGAAAAGCAUCAACUACACUCAAAACGUAAUCUCUAGGGCUCUGAGAUCUCUCCUUCCCUUGUGCCUUCUACUUCCCUUGUUCCCCCACUGACUUCUUUGGAUGCAUCCUGUCUCCAUCCAUCUGAAUGUCAGAGACCUCACUACUUAAAGGUCUUUGAGUAGUCGAAUCCCACCAUUGUGAGUUUUUUCCAUUGGCUGAUGGUCUCUGUAAUUCCAGUCUCCAUUGCUGCAUGUUAGGUAAUCUGCGAACAUCUGGAUCCCUGUGGCUCAUCUUUCUGUUGUCCUGGGUAUCGCCACUACUGCAUUCCUACAAUGGGAGUGGUGAAGAGGAGAGGUGCUGUGUGGGCCACCUUGGGAAUGGGAAGAGCAUUUCAGAUGAGCGGAGUAGUACAGAGAAGAAGCACAAGACAGACUUCUUACAAGAACAACAGUAAUUCUCUGGAGUUACUUGUCCCAGGUAAUAACGGCCACAGCAUCUGACACUAGAAAUGGCAAAUAGCAAAUGAGCGAACAAUGUGGCAGUUAGGCAGAGCAAGUUGUCGUGCAGGACACUGACAUUGAACAGUGCAAUACCAACUGUUGGCACUGUUUGUCUUCCAUUUCAUUUUCUUGCAGAUGGCAAAGAGGAACCUGGUGACUGCAGGAUCAUCCCUCAUAGCUGAUGCUGUUGGAGGGGUUUUUUUUCUACUGAGGAUAACUCUUGGCCUUCUGAAAGUUAAGUUGAGGGACCAAGGCUGAGGUGGAUCUGGGAAGAGGGGAGAAGGUUGGGGAUGGCAGGGAGGGAUUUUAAAGGUAACAUAGGGGAGAGGGCUGUGCAGGGAGAGUCCUAUUUGGGCAGGCAAAGGCAGAGGGGCCUGCUUCUCAGCCCAAAACUAGCAUGGGCAGGGCAGUUCUAGCCUGUGUCCGUUGUCGUCUAGUUUCUGCAGUCUGUGUGCCACAUCUUAAUUUUUCUGCAGGUCUUGAUGUCCUCUUUGCACUCAAGGCAUGCUGGACGUGCCUUGGGCACCAUGUCUAGGGUUCCGAAUGCUUGUACUCAAUGUAGUGUCGAUCGGGCACUGCUCUUCUUGCAUUGCAAUCCUAAAGCGUGGAUCGGUCUUGCGUUUUGGAAGUUUGCAGUCAGAUGUCUCUUGUGCUGCAGCCUUGCAGCAUGUGUCGGCAUCCACGUUCGUUAGUCAUCUGUUUUCUUGGAUCCCUGUUCUCGGACUUGUUCCGUGCAUCCUCUGCACCUCUAGGUCUUUCAACGGGGCUUCCUGCCCGUGUCUGUCAUCUAGGUUCUGUAGUCUGUGUGGCAUGUCUUCAGUUUUCUGCAGGUCUUGAUGUCUUCUUUGCCCUCAAGGCAUGCUGGACAUGCCUUGGGCACCAUGUCUAGGAUCCCAAAUGCUUGUACUCAUCAAUGCGGUCUCGAUUGGGCACCGCUACUCUUGCAUCGCGACCCUAAAGCGUGGAUCGGUCUUGUUUUGGACGCUUCUGUUCAGUUGUCUCUUUUGCUGCGGCCUUGCAGCCUGCGUCGGCGUCCACGAUUGUUAGUCACGCAUUUUCUUGGAUCCCUGUUCUGGGACUUGUUCCAUGCAUCCUCUGCAUCUUUAGGUCUUUAAAUGGGGCUUCUUGCUCCUUCAUUCUCCCAGUUGCGGCUGUAUCUCUUUGUAAUCAGCCACGGUCCUUCACUUUUCCAGGGCUGCCAUAGAUUCUUCUUUGUAGUCCUGUACAACAUCUUGUCCAAUGGCAUGUCUGAUCCAGGAAUCAUUCUUCAUACAGCGAGUUCUUUUGUCCCUGGUUCAUGACAUCGGUCUUGUGUGCAGUAUUGUUCUGUGUUUCGUGUCUGGCUGGAGCUGCUCUGCCCGAUGCAUGGAGGUGGUAAGAGCGAGUAGAGGUAGAAGGGCAAGAUUCUGUGGUUAAUAUGCUGAUAUGCCUAAACCUUUCAGUUUAGGGGCAUACCAUACGUUGCAGAAGAAGUAGCCCUAGGUGCAGUGGGUGAGGAGAGCAGUUUCUGCUUGGCUGUGCAGCCACAGAGGAGAUGACCAAAAGUGUGCGGGAGAAUCCAGUGGAGUGGUAACGGAGCAGUUUAAAUUCAAAGGGAUUGGGACGUAAUGUUUGGGUUUGGUUGUUGACUUGUGCUUGGCUGUAGUGUGCAGUAGAGAUGGUAUUGCUAAAUGGAAGUGAGAGGUCUGGAACCGUUAAGGUGUCACUGAAUGUCUGAGUGACUACUUUGAUAUUGUGUUUUUCAGAUGCAGAGGGACAACUGGUGUACCAAAAGCUGCUGAUGGAGUUGCAGGUGGAGUGCCACAGGGAGGUGAGUCAGCUGUGGUGUCAUUGGGAAGUUGUGGCUGGUGGCAAUAUAAAUAGCUAAUCUACAUUUUCAGUUUGUGAUCUUAAAAGCAUCCCUUGCUGUCUGUAUAUUACAGGUGGAGACUAAGCCUCACCAUGGCAGCCUGAGAUGAUGGAUGCUGGGCAGGAGAGCGGUCAAGGAAACAUAGCAGGAGAUGGGUAUUGCUGGGGGCAGCCUCUGCUUUGUGUUAGUAUCUUAAGUACCUGUCUUCUUUUGCAGGUGCCACAUACAGCCUCAGAGGAGUUAAGCUUCAUGCUGAAAAAUGGUUUGAGAGGCGCUGUGCAGGCCACCUUUGCGAUGGGAAGA